RNAcentral lists this ribosomal RNA (253 nucleotides) under uncultured bacterium. RNAcentral describes it as "partial 16S ribosomal RNA". It matches the Rfam family "Bacterial small subunit ribosomal RNA", at positions 524 to 776 of the family's 1533-position model. The record is from RNAcentral.
UACGUAGGGUGCAAGCGUUGUCCGGAAUUAUUGGGCGUAAAGAGCUCGUAGGCGGUCUGUCGCGUCUGCUGUGAAAACUCGGGGCUUAACCCCGGGCCUGCAGUGGGUACGGGCAGACUAGAGUGCGGUAGGGGAGACUGGAAUUCCUGGUGUAGCGGUGAAAUGCGCAGAUAUCAGGAGGAACACCGGUGGCGAAGGCGGGUCUCUGGUACGUGACUGACGCUGAGACGCGAAAGCGUGGGGAGCGAACAGG